This is a long non-coding RNA of Panicum virgatum (switchgrass), 749 nucleotides long. RefSeq lists it as uncharacterized. The transcript has 2 exons. NCBI's taxonomy places the organism in Eukaryota, Viridiplantae, Streptophyta, Magnoliopsida, Poales, Poaceae. The record is from RefSeq and is a predicted model, not a curated record.
CCUCUUCCUCCGCCUCCCUGGGCUUCGCCACGUCACAGCUCGCCGGCCUCUCCCUCUCCGCUGGCGCUGCCACUUCAGCCGUCGUCGCCCCCUUCCCCAAGAGGCAGCUCCAGGCCUCCAGCCCAUCGUCGCGCCUGUGGUCAUCCAACCCCGUCUGCUGCUGCUGCGCCUUCGUCGACCGCGUCAAUGUGAGCCUCUCUUCGUCGGAGGCCGGAGGUGGGACCAGCCCGGCGUCCCUCGCCGUCGCCGGAGCUGAGCCACGUGAAGUCGAUCUCCGGCCUGUCUCGGUCUCUCGCGCGCCGUUGGAUUGGCGCCGUCAGCCCAGAUGGAGGGUCGGUGCCUCUGCGGAGCAAGUGGCAGGAAUCCCUCGUCGAUUGCGUGCCAACGGGGAAAAAAAGAAACGUGUGAAGCGGCGCAACGAGCUCGACGUAGUACCGUACCGACAGCUUAAACAGAGUGGAGUGCACUGCAUUUCGUAACAAUGAUUGGCUCAACUGAGAAUCAGCUUCAUUCUUGCAGCAGAAAAAAUGUAGGUUGGUCUGUCCCUUUUGCUCCAAGAGACUAGCCAUGGCUUUCACCUGUGGCAAAACCAAUUGCCGCACGAGUUUUCUUUGUUCCUUUCGUAGGCAAGGUUUUCUGAAGAUGGGUCGUUUGGUUGUUUGGAUGUCAAGAGCUAGAGUUUAGCUCUGUCACAUGGGAUAUUUCAAUACCAAUUAAGAAAAUUAAAUAUGAGCUAAUUAUAAAAUUAA